RNAcentral lists this ribosomal RNA (254 nucleotides) under uncultured bacterium. RNAcentral's name for it is "partial 16S ribosomal RNA". It matches the Rfam family "Bacterial small subunit ribosomal RNA", at positions 524 to 776 of the family's 1533-position model. The record is from RNAcentral.
CACGUAGGGUGCGAGCGUUGUCCGGAAUUAUUGGGCGUAAAGAGCUCGUAGGCGGUGUGUCACGUCGGCCGUGAAAACCUGCAGCUUAACUGUGGGCGUGCGGUCGAUACGGGCAUCACUGGAGUUCGGCAGGGGAGACUGGAAUUCCUGGUGUAGCGGUGAAAUGCGCAGAUAUCGGAAGGAACAUCAGUGGCGAAAGCGGCUUCCUGGACCAGUACCGACGUUCAGGCACGAAAGCGUGGGGAGCAAACAGG